UCACGCGCGAUGGCUUAUCCGUUUUUCGUGUAUAACUUUGGUGUUUCUUCACCGAUUUAUAUGGAUCUUUUUUUAAUGAAUAGGUAAUACUAUUAACUAUUUUUAAUUCGUGUGAGUGAGAGUGUUAUAAACGUAAUAGUAGACAAAUAUAAUCAGAAAACUCCAAACUGCUAAGCUACCGAGAGAGUUUUACGUGUUAUUGUGAGUCAACCAUAAAAGAUAGAUAUAUACUGUCAUGGGAUAUUUUUUACAUAAUUUUAUGAAGAACAUUUCCGUCAUACAUGGUUUCUGUGUAGCUGUAACCAUUAGGGUUGCACACGCGACGGAAUCUUAAAAAAUGGAGUAACUUCUCCCGUUUUCCCAACAUUUACCUUCACUGCUCUGCUCCUAUUGAUCGUAGCGUGAUGCAAAGUAUCCUAUAACCUGCCCAGGAGUAUGAAGAAUCAUUGUACCAAGUUUCAUUGAAAUCCGUCAAACAGACAGACAGACAGACAGACAGACAGACAAAAAUUUUUCUGAUUGCAUUUUUGGCAUCAGUAUCGAUCACUAAUCAUCCCCUAAUAGUUAUUUUGGAAAUAUAUUCAAUGUACAGAAUUGACCUCUCUACAGAUUUAUUAUAGGUAAGUAUAGAUUAUCCUUCUUUGAUAUUAUCAACAUUGUUGCAGUUUUUGCUGUUUUUUUUGCGCGAAUUAUGGGGACGCAUUUUACAAAGCAGCGCAGCGCACCUCAUUUACAGCUUGAGCCUCGUUUUAGUGAAGGCAGGUCCAUUUAAUUUCGGGAAGCAAGCCUGUAACCCUUGAAAUCCAGAAUACCUACCUGCACCAGACAUUUUAUACAAAAGUCUUGUUAUAGACUAACGUAAUACAAUCAUACGAUCACAAACCAGCUCUCAACGUAAGCCGGAAAUUACAGGUAGAAAGUUAUUUCUAUCGUAUCGUGCCAUAUCUGUCUCGACCGAUCUCAAGAAAGCAGUCAGGCGCCAUGACGCUUAGAGAAGUCAAGACAUUCACCUGCAUAUGCCAACAAUUUCAAUAACGUAUGUUUGUUUAUUAUUGGAAUGGUAUGUAUGACAGAGUAUCACCUGUUCAGGUUAAGUACAGAUAUUUGCGUUGCAACAUUAUUUGGGAUGAUGCAAAAGACCGGAAGCCGACCACAACACAGAUGGGAAAAGGAUCGGGAGAUGAUGGGAUAUGAUGGGAUGAGAUGAUGGGAUAUUUGGAUAUGUACUACCCGUGCCAAUAAAGAAUGGGAUUAGAAAUGGCGGCGCAUCUAUUCACUUCUCGCUCGCACAUUAUUUCCGUCUAUACUCACAUUCUUUGGUACCGACUGACAAAAAAAUAACGACUUUGAUUAUGCGUUCCCCCCCUUUAGUGAUAUUGAUACGGUAAUUGCCGGCACCAGCAAGAUGUGAAAUUUUACUGGAAAUAAACUAAAUUAUAAUAUUUA
Molecule: long non-coding RNA, 1446 nt
Organism: Helicoverpa armigera (cotton bollworm)
Lineage: Eukaryota; Metazoa; Arthropoda; Insecta; Lepidoptera; Noctuidae
Exons: 2
Source: RefSeq, a predicted model, not a curated record